RNAcentral lists this ribosomal RNA (460 nucleotides) under uncultured Desulfobulbus sp. RNAcentral's name for it is "bacterial SSU rRNA". It matches the Rfam family "Bacterial small subunit ribosomal RNA", at positions 927 to 1382 of the family's 1533-position model. The record is from RNAcentral. Lineage: Bacteria; Pseudomonadati; Thermodesulfobacteriota; Desulfobulbia; Desulfobulbales; Desulfobulbaceae.
AAGCGGUGGAGUAUGUGGUUUAAUUCGAUGCAACGCGAAGAACCUUACCUGGUCUUGACCAUCCCGGAGACCCUUGGAAACUAGGGGUGCUUCCAUCUGGAAGAAUCUGGAGACAGGUGCUGCAUGGCUGUCGUCAGCUCGUGUCGUGAGAUGCUGGGUUAAGUCCCGCAACGAGCGCAACCCUUGCCUUUAGUUGCCAGCAGUUCGGCUGGGCACUCUAAAGGGACUGCCGGUGUUAAACCGGAGGAAGGUGGGAAUGACGUCAAGUCCUCAUGGCCUUUAUGACCAGGGCUACACACGUACUACAAUGGCCGAUACAAAGGGCAGCGACACUGCGAGGUGAAGCCAAUCCCGUAAAAUCGGUCUCAGUCCGGAUUGGAGUCUGCAACUCGACUCCAUGAAGUUGGAAUCGCUAGUAAUCGUGGAUCAGCAUGCCACGGUGAAUACGUUCCCGGGCCUU